RNAcentral lists this ribosomal RNA (253 nucleotides) under uncultured bacterium. RNAcentral describes it as "partial 16S ribosomal RNA". It matches the Rfam family "Bacterial small subunit ribosomal RNA", at positions 524 to 776 of the family's 1533-position model. The record is from RNAcentral.
UACGAAGGGGGCUAGCGUUGCUCGGAAUUAUUGGGCGUAAAGCGCACGUAGGCGGUUCGUUAAGUCGGAUGUGAAAGCCCUCGGCUGAACUGAGGAAGUGCACCCGAAACUGGCGAGCUUGAGUACGAAAGAGGAUCGCGGAAUUCCCGGUGUAGAGGUGAAAUUCGUAGAUAUCGGGAGGAACACCAGUGGCGAAGGCGGUUGCCUGGGGCUUUGCUGACGCUGAUGCGCGAAAGCGUGGGGAGCGAGCCGG